RNAcentral lists this ribosomal RNA (403 nucleotides) under uncultured bacterium. Its description in RNAcentral is "bacterial SSU rRNA". It matches the Rfam family "Bacterial small subunit ribosomal RNA", at positions 355 to 775 of the family's 1533-position model. The record is from RNAcentral.
UAGGGAAUAUUAGUAAUGGGCGAAAGCCUGAACUAGCAACGCCGCGUGUGCGAAGAAGGCCUUCGGGUUGUAAAGCACUUUUUGAGAGGAUGAGGAAGGACGGUACUCUCAGAAUAAGUCUCGGCUAACUACGUGCCAGAAGCCGCGGUAACAAGUAGGAGGCGAACGUUAUCCGGAUUUACUGGGCGUAAAGCGCGUGUAGGUGGUUUGGUAAGUAGGGCGUGAAAGCUCCUGGCUCAACUGGGAGAGGCCGUUCUAAACUGCCGAACUAGAGGAUGGGAGAGGGAGGUGGAAUUCCGGGUGUAGCGGUGGAAUGCGCAGAUAUCCGGAGGAACACCAGUGGCGAAAGCGGCCUCCUGGACCAUUCCUGACACUCAGACGCGAAAGCUAGGGUAGCAAACGG